UGCGCUGAUGAGUGGCAGGAAACGUCUAAGGCAUAUUGGUACACCAUAGACUUUUUCGAGGGUGCAGGUGCCCACAGAGAGGGCUCUAAAUGCUGCCUCUGGCACCCGUGCCAUAGGUUCUCCACCACUGGUCUAGGUUAUGUGGCUUUGGUAUUUCAUAUAGCUCUUUGAAGAGGUUUAGUGAUAUACUUAGGCCUCAUGCAUAUGCCAGUAUGACCUCUCCAUACAAGUUCCAAAUUGUACUCCUCUGUAACAGAGCAUCCAUAGACAUUGCUUGAGCCCAGGUGUGUACCACCUUAUGUCUGUACUUCAUACAGAGACAGUUUUUUUUCUAUCGGUAACAGCACAAAGCUACCAACUGUGGUAUUUUCUAUUAUCGUCCCUUAGAAGCAUGGCUUCUAUAGCACAGUAUGUCCAACAUAUGGCAUGUGUAUGCACUACCAUAUGGCAACACAAGGAGUGCCACACAAGCUCCAGCACACAGCUCAAGACCAAACGACUAAAGAUCUUCGAAACGAAACAUCACUUCUUUUAAAUAGAUCUACAAAAGGGUCCUACCAGUUUUUUUUUGAAGUUGGAUAUUGCAAAUAAUUAGAUCACAUUAUUUAAUACAUUUUACCAGUAAUUAUUUUUGUCAUUCAUGCAGGAAUCUUGUCAGUAAGGAAAUAGUUUGACAAAUAUUCUAUCUUUGGUCUCUGCACAUUCCUGCAGAUAGCUGAACCAGAUGUGGACUAGAUGUGUUCAAAACAAGGCUUGUCCAAUUUAUUACAUUUAUCAGAAAUCAAAAAUGCAAAUCAAACAUGUCCAGGCAUUUUGUGUUCUGAUACAAGUGAGAAGUUUUGUUCUCCCAUCAGUGUUAAACUGCUCCACCCAUGUCUAUUAUACCAUGUAAAUUCAUUUUGUUUCAUUUACAAAUAAAAUCCAAUUUUGUAUCUUA
Bufo gargarizans (Asiatic toad) is the source of this 937-nucleotide long non-coding RNA. RefSeq lists it as uncharacterized. The record is from RefSeq and is a predicted model, not a curated record. The transcript is spliced from 2 exons. Lineage: Eukaryota; Metazoa; Chordata; Amphibia; Anura; Bufonidae.